RNAcentral lists this ribosomal RNA (543 nucleotides) under uncultured bacterium. RNAcentral's name for it is "bacterial SSU rRNA". It matches the Rfam family "Bacterial small subunit ribosomal RNA", at positions 777 to 1318 of the family's 1533-position model. The record is from RNAcentral.
AAUAGAUACCCAGGUAGUCCACGCCGUAAACGAUGAGUGCUAAGUGUUAGGGGGUUUCCGCCCCUUAGUGCUGCAGCUAACGCAUUAAGCACUCCGCCUGGGGAGUACGGUCGCAAGACUGAAACUCAAAGGAAUUGACGGGGGCCCGCACAAGCGGUGGAGCAUGUGGUUUAAUUCGAAGCAACGCGAAGAACCUUACCAGGUCUUGACAUCCCAUUGACCGCUAUGGAGACAUAGCUUUCCCUUCGGGGACAGUGGUGACAGGUGGUGCAUGGUUGUCGUCAGCUCGUGUCGUGAGAUGUUGGGUUAAGUCCCGCAACGAGCGCAACCCUUGUUCUUAGUUGCCAUCAUUUAGUUGGGCACUCUAAGGAGACUGCCGGUGACAAACCGGAGGAAGGUGGGGAUGACGUCAAAUCAUCAUGCCCCUUAUGACCUGGGCUACACACGUGCUACAAUGGACGGUACAAACGGUUGCCAACCCGCGAGGGGGAGCUAAUCCGAUAAAACCGUUCUCAGUUCGGAUUGUAGGCUGCAACUCGCCUA